Molecule: long non-coding RNA, 837 nt
Filed under: Junco hyemalis (dark-eyed junco)
Lineage: Eukaryota; Metazoa; Chordata; Aves; Passeriformes; Passerellidae
Description: lncRNA (ENSJHYG00000018245.1)
Source: RNAcentral
CUUGGCCCUGGUUCCUUCUGUUGGAUUGUCACAGGGUGUCUGUGAAAAGGACAGUGACAUGCACCAUUCUGUAGGAACCAUCAAAGAAGUUGUAUUUAGUGGCAUUUGCACUAUGGUCCUCCAGGUUCCACGAGCAUUGGCAGGUAAUCUGGGACUGAUAAACUCUGGCCAUGAAUUUCAGAUGGAGGUAUCUGUGGCUGAGCUUCUGUAUCUGCAUGGAGACAACCGGAUAAAUGAUCAGUUUCACAAUGCCACCAAUGUUGGAAACAAAAUGUUGGAAACAAAGCCCUCCAAUGACUUGAAGCUGGCAUGGAAAAUGAAGCAGUGCGGGGUCCUGAGCCACUGGUCCUGAAUGCAGGGCUGCCUUCAGCACACAGGUUGAGUAUUGGCAAGUGAAAGACACAGCACAGAUCCACUGGCUAGUAAACCUUGCUUUAGGGUGCUCAAAAACAUGGCCAAGUGAUGGGGAGCAUCAAAUUGAUGCAAAGUCAUUUUGGCAGCUCAAGCUUAUUGAAACAUUUCCAAAAGGACAACGUUCCCCUAGCAGACUCAAUAGUGGUAUGAGCAUUGUUUCUCUGUCAUCCAUCAUAACAUCAAGGCAAAUGAAGCAAUUUGAGGAACCGCAACAAGCAUUAUCUGGAAGAGUGGUUUUAUAGGGAAAGGUUAAAAGAGCUUAAUACACCCAGUUUUGUUAAAGCAGAGGUAGAUGGAGGCAUGUCUCCAGCCAGCAAAUGCUUAAGUAAUGCAAACCUUACAGAUGGAAAGGAAAUACUUGGGCUUAUACAUAUGGGAACAAGUAGGAAUAAAUGAAAAGAGGUGGGGAUAUACUGAAUAUCA